This is a non-coding RNA of Drosophila kikkawai, 502 nucleotides long. The record is from RefSeq and is a predicted model, not a curated record. Lineage: Eukaryota; Metazoa; Arthropoda; Insecta; Diptera; Drosophilidae.
CUUUCGGCCGACACCGAGAAUCUAUCAUCACCAAAAUCGCAUUUCAAUUCCACGGUGCCAUUGACAUAGCGUUCGCGACCCAAUAAGCGAAUGCGGGACAAAUCGAUUCUCUUUUAAACUUAAUCUGGAAUAAAUGUUGAACUUACGAGAUGGAACCAAAAAUAAUAUAUACCUACUUACAAAAGCUUCGCCAAGAAGAAUCAGUUGAAAAUAAAUCAAAAACUGCAGCAUUAUUUUAGGAAUAAAUCAGACACCUUUGGGCAGCGAACGAACUACAUUAAUGCUGGUUAUUUCCUUAACCCAUCGCAUUUUAUACAUUCCUACACUAAAAUAAAUUAUAAUCUAACAUGACAUACAUGUUUGGAAAGUAAUUUAAUGAUCGACAUUGUAAAUUGUGUAAAGUAACAAUUUUACAAGUAAUGUGAUACAUUGAUAUUGUAAUUAAAGCCAUCAUUACAAAAAAUAAAAACUUCACAUUAACAUGGCUAAAAUUGAAAGCUUA